This 72-nucleotide transfer RNA is filed under the name Sparassis crispa. Its description in RNAcentral is "tRNA-Thr". It matches the Rfam family "tRNA". From Rfam's summary of the family: Transfer RNA (tRNA) molecules are approximately 80 nucleotides in length. Their secondary structure includes four short double-helical elements and three loops (D, anti-codon, and T loops). The record is from RNAcentral. Lineage: Eukaryota; Fungi; Basidiomycota; Agaricomycetes; Polyporales; Sparassidaceae.
GCCCGUUUAGCUCAGUGGUAGAGCGCGCCGCUCGUAACGGUGAGGUCGGUUGUUCAAUCCAGCCAGCGGGCA